UGAUGAACCCUAGCGGCAGGCCUUACAAACACAUGCAAGUCGAGGGGUAUUAGGAGCUUGCUCCUGAAGAGACACGGCGCACGGGUGCGUAACGCGUAUGCAAUCUACUCUUAUACAGGGGAAUAGCCCAGAGAAAUUUGGAUUAAUGCCCCAUGGUAUUAUAGAGUGGCAUCACUUUAUAAUUAAAGUUCCAACGGUAUAAGAUGAGCAUGCGUCCCAUUAGUUAGUUGGUAAGGUAACGGCUUACCAAGACAAUGAUGGGUAGGGGUCCUGAGAGGGAGAUCCCCCACACUGGUACUGAGACACGGACCAGACUCCUACGGGAGGCAGCACUGAGGAAUAUUGGUCAAUGGGCGCAAGCCUGAAGCAGCCAUGCCGCGUGCAGGAAGACGGUCCUAUGGAUUGUAAACUGCUUUUAUACAGGAAGAAACCCUCCCACGUGUGGGAGAUUGACGGUGAUGUAGGAAUAAGGAUCGGCUAACUCCGUGCCAGCAGCCGCGGUAAUACGAGGAUCCAAGCGUUAUCGGGAAUCAUUCCGUUUAAAGGGUCCGUAGGCGGUCUUACAAGUCAGUGGUGAAAUCCCAUCGCUCAACGAUGGAACUGCCAUUGAUACUGUAAACCUUGAAUACUUAGGAAGUAACUAGAAUAUGUAGUGUAGCGCAACAUGCUUAGAUAUUACAUGGAAUACCAAUUGCGAAGGCAGGUUACUACUAAGUGAUUGACGCUGAUGGACGAAAGCGUGCCAGCGAACAGGAUUAGAUACCCUGGUAGUCCACGCCGUAUCGAUGGAUACUAGCUGUUCGGAGCAAUCUGAGUGGCUAAGCGAAAGUGAUAAGUAUCCCACCUGGGGAGUACGCACGCAAGUGUGAAACUCAAAGGAAUUGACGGCGGGGGCACAAGCGGUGGAGCAUGGUGUUUAAUUCGAUGAUACGCGAGGAACCUUACCAAGGCUUAUAUGUAGUUUGACCGAUUUGGAAACAGAUCCUUCGCAAUUACAAGCUGCUGCAUGGUUUUCGUCAGCUCGUGCCGUGAGGUGUCAGGUUUUGUCACUGAACGAGCGCAACCCCUGUGUUUAGUUGCCAGCGAGUCAUGUCGGGAACUCUAACAGGACUGCCAGCGUAAACUGUGAGGGGGGUGGGGAUGACGUCUAAUCAUCACGGCCCUUACGCCCGGGCCACACACGCGCUACAAUGGACGGUACAGAGAGCAGCCACUGGGUGACCAGGAGCGAAUCUACAAAACCGUUCUCAGUUCGGAUCGGAGUCUGCAACUCGACUCCGUGGAGCUGGAAUCGCUAGUAAUCGGAUAUCAGCCAUGAUCUGGUGAAUACGUUCCCGGGCCUUGUACACACCGCCCGUCAAGCCAUGGAAGCUGGGCCUGCCUGAAGUCGGUGACCAUGAGGAGCUGCCUAGGGUAAAACUGGUAACUAGCCCUAAGUCUCAACAAGCUA
This 1450-nucleotide ribosomal RNA is filed under the name uncultured Flavobacterium sp. Its description in RNAcentral is "bacterial SSU rRNA". It matches the Rfam family "Bacterial small subunit ribosomal RNA". Lineage: Bacteria; Pseudomonadati; Bacteroidota; Flavobacteriia; Flavobacteriales; Flavobacteriaceae. The record is from RNAcentral.